GCCCGGGUGGCGAAACUGGCAGACGCGUAGGACUUAGAAUCCUAUGAUGGCAACAUCUUGUGGGUUCAACUCCCACCCCGGGCACAA
This 87-nucleotide transfer RNA is filed under the name Candidatus Cerribacteria bacterium 'Amazon FNV 2010 28 9'. Its description in RNAcentral is "tRNA-Leu". It matches the Rfam family "tRNA". From Rfam's summary of the family: Transfer RNA (tRNA) molecules are approximately 80 nucleotides in length. Lineage: Bacteria; Candidatus Cerribacteria. The record is from RNAcentral.